This 397-nucleotide ribosomal RNA is filed under the name uncultured bacterium. Its description in RNAcentral is "partial 16S ribosomal RNA". It matches the Rfam family "Bacterial small subunit ribosomal RNA", at positions 523 to 918 of the family's 1533-position model. The record is from RNAcentral.
AUACGAAGGGUGCAAGCGUUACUCGGAAUUACUGGGCGUAAAGCGUGCGUAGGUGGUUGUUUAAGUCUGUCGUGAAAGCCCUGGGCUCAACCUGGGAACUGCGAUGGAAACUGGGCGACUAGAGUGUGGUAGAGGGUAGCGGAAUUCCUGGUGUAGCAGUGAAAUGCGUAGAUACCAGGAGGAACAUCCAUGGCGAAGGCAGCUACCAGGGCCAACACUGACGCUGAGGAACGAAAGCGUGGGGAGGAAACAGGAAUAGAUACCCUGGUAGUCCGCGCCCUAAACGAUGCGAACUGGAUGGUGGGUGCACUUUGGCACGCAGUAUCGAAGGUAACGCGUUAAGGUCGCCGCCUGGGGAGUACGGUAGCAACACUGAAUCUCAAAUGAAUUGACGGGG